AGGUGCCAGAUAUUCAUUUGAAGUAACAAGGAAAUAUUUUCUUGACUUAAUUUUGAGAAUUACAUUCUUUUGACACUCUUCAAAAAUAUGUAUUUUACUUCAUUUUUCUGUUACAUUUUAUAUACCCCUGUGAAAUGACUAGGGGUUGAUUAUACUGCAGGUCACUCCAUUCAUGCUUUGUAUAAUAAGUCAAAUUACAUUUUCAUUGACUUUUCAUGGAACUCUCAAACAUUUAAAAAAAAAAAUGAAAGAUGGCUUUAAAGAGGGUAUAUUUUGUCUGUGUCUUUUAAGAAUUAACUUGAGGCAGAUUUAUUUGAAUUUUCAUGUCAAUGAUGGCC
This 338-nucleotide long non-coding RNA is filed under the name Mytilus galloprovincialis (Mediterranean mussel). The record is from RNAcentral. Lineage: Eukaryota; Metazoa; Mollusca; Bivalvia; Mytilida; Mytilidae.